Long non-coding RNA from Callorhinus ursinus (northern fur seal), 1209 nucleotides. RefSeq lists it as uncharacterized. The record is from RefSeq and is a predicted model, not a curated record. Lineage: Eukaryota; Metazoa; Chordata; Mammalia; Carnivora; Otariidae.
UGAACCCGAGCAUACUACAUGUCAGGCAGUAUACUACACUAAAUGCCUUUGGCAUAAAAACAUUUUUGAAAUCAUAUGCAUAACCCCCAUUAGCUCACUGUGAUCUAUGUCUUACAGAUGAAGAAGCUGGGGCACUGAGAAGAUAGGUGACUUGCCUGAUGUCAGGGGUUAGUGGCAGAGCUGGGACUCAGAUGCCAAUCUGUACAGUGUUGGAGAUCAAACCACUAAGCUACCGUCUCAAAAUCCACAGCAUACGGAUCAGAAACAGCGAUGAAGUAGCCCUGCUUGCUGAGUUCAUCCACUGCCACUUUUUCAAGGCUCCAUUGAAAGACCUGGGUUCUUGAUGCACAUAGAUGCAUUUCUAGGCUACAGGGUUCACCUGGGAGUUUUUGCAAAUUGUUGGAACUCCCCCCAAAUUUUUCCAAUGUACUUAUGGAAAAAAAAAUCUACGUGUAAAUGGACUGCAGUUCAAGCCCAUGUCGUUCACAGGUCAAGUGUACUUGGCUGAGGAAUCUGCAAAUGAGCAACUGUGAAUGAACUGUACAGAGACAGCAAGAAUCCCAGUGGAGAAAGCCAAUCUUCCGGGCAGCGGCCGGCUGGCACCUGGGCAAGGUGGCAGGUGUGAGAUCACCACGCAUCGGGCCACGUACAGCUUCUCAGCACUGGCACAUCUGGUCCGUGGCCAACAUACGAGAGGUGCCGGCAAUGCUAAGAAACUCUGCAGAAAAGAGCCUCAAACCCACUGAUCUUGAAAAGAGGAGAUAAAAGGAAGGCUUCACGUUGAAGACAGAACUACAAAUGUAAAUGCAACUGGUUUGCCUACUGACAUCAUAGCGGAGGCCUUUAUACAGCUUCUAAUUUUGCAUGAUUAUGAGAUCCCCAGACAGAAUUUAUGGUCAAGUUUUACAAAGAUAAACCAAGGGAAUCUUAAAGCAGAUGGGCUUUGCAGUUAUUUGAAGAGGGACUCUGGAUUGUGCAAUAAUGCUUUUGGAUGAAGAUGAAAUUAGAAGCUAGAAAUCGCAUAGUGAGGUAGCUCAGUUUCAACGGAAGGGUCUUCGAAGAGGGGGCACUACAGGUAGGGGCUGGCUCUGUAAUAAAAGCAGUUGGACUGUUGGAAUGCUUGUGGAAUGCCCCAAGGGGGAGUGCUCAUUACCAAAAUGUUUCAUCCCAUGGAUUUUGAGCUGGUGCUGAUCAAGGUAGGAGAAGACU